AGCUCCAAUAGCGUAUAUUAAAGUUGCUGCAGUUGAAAAGCUCGUAGUUGCAUUUCCGAGGCAAGGGAUUAGUCCGACCUUUGGUGGGUAUUUAAUCCUCUUGCCUCGUCCUUGAGUGGUGCUUCUUGGUAUUAAGUUAUCGAGAAGAUAGCCGCUCAUCGUUUACUGUGAGAAAAUUAGAGUGUUCAAAGCAGGCUUAUGCCGUUGAAUAUAUUAGCAUGGAAUAAUAAGAUAGGACCUCGGUACUAUUUUGUUGGUUUGAGAACCAAGGUAAUGAUGAAUAGGGACAGUUGGGGGUAUUCGUAUUCAGUUGUCAGAGGUGAAAUUCUUAGAUUUACGGAAGACGAACUACUGCGAAAGCAUUUACCAAGGAUGUUUUCA
Molecule: ribosomal RNA, 381 nt
Filed under: uncultured marine Chaetocerotaceae
Lineage: Eukaryota; Bacillariophyta; Thalassiosirophyceae; Chaetocerotales; Chaetocerotaceae
Description: SSU rRNA
Rfam family: Eukaryotic small subunit ribosomal RNA
Source: RNAcentral